RNAcentral lists this ribosomal RNA (355 nucleotides) under uncultured bacterium. RNAcentral's name for it is "partial 16S ribosomal RNA". It matches the Rfam family "Bacterial small subunit ribosomal RNA", at positions 338 to 710 of the family's 1533-position model. The record is from RNAcentral.
CCUACGGGUGGCAGCAGUGGGGAAUAUUGCACAAUGGGGGAAACCCUGAUGCAGCGACGCCGCGUGAGUGAAGAAGUAUUUCGGUACGGAAAGCUCUAUCAGCAGAGAAGAAAAUGACGGUACCUGACUCAGAAGCCACGGAUAACUACGUGCCAGCAGCCGCGGUCAUACGUCGGGGGCAAGCGUUAUCCGGAUUUACUGGGUGUAAAGGGAGCGUAGACGGCGGCGCAAGUCUGAAGUGAAAUCCCAUGGCUUAACCAUGGAACUGCUUUGGAAACUGUGCAGCUGGAGUGCAGGAGAGGUAAGCGGAAUUCGUAGUGUAGCGGUGAAAUGCGUAGAUAUUACGAAGAACCCC